RNAcentral lists this ribosomal RNA (98 nucleotides) under Vibrio parahaemolyticus. Its description in RNAcentral is "partial 16S ribosomal RNA". It matches the Rfam family "Bacterial small subunit ribosomal RNA", at positions 1 to 100 of the family's 1533-position model. The record is from RNAcentral. Lineage: Bacteria; Pseudomonadati; Pseudomonadota; Gammaproteobacteria; Vibrionales; Vibrionaceae.
AAAUUGAAGAGUUUGAUCAUGGCUCAGAUUGAACGCUGGCGGCAGGCCUAACACAUGCAAGUCGAGCGGAAACGAGUUAACUGAACCUUCGGGGGACG